GGAUCCCCGAUUCAAAAGUUAUAUAGAUGGAUGUCUCUGUAUUAUCAAGUCGUUUUCGAUGCUCAGAUUUUCAAAUCGAUGAUCAGCUCCGUCAGAUUUGAUCUAAAGUAUUUAAAAUACCUAAGAAAUAAAUGUUAUAAUUUUUUGAUAUAAUUAACCUGGUGAUCGAAAUGACUCAAAAUCAACAGCUGAAAAUAAAAUUUUACAGAAAAAUAAUGAUAUGGCACUAAAAUUUUAGAUCAAAAAUUUUGAUCUUGCUUUAUGUGGUAUAAAAAAUUGUGUACCAAAAUUUUAUAUGAUUUGUAUAAUUUUGCAUCGUUAAACUUGUAAAAGACUCACCACGACCAUUAAAAUAAUUAAUUUUGGGCCCCUUCAAUUACUAGAUAAAUAAUAUCGAAAAAUUACAAAAUUUUUUUGCUAGUUUAAAUACUGCCAAUCAAGUUUUAAUGAGGCAGAUCGUUGAUUCGAAAGCUCUAAUAUUAAAAGCAACUUAAUAGUACGAAAAUCAUCGUGUUUCUAAAAAUAAACAAGCCUAGUUUUGGACUGAAAUGUUAUAUAUAUGAAAAAAGCAUUACACUUUUCAAAGGAAGUGGCUUAAUUAAUUAUUAUUACAAAUUAUUACAAAUAAUAUUUAGGGAAAACUUCAAAAAUCCCCUGUGGUUUCACACUUUAUCAUUUUAGUAUCAUGCGGUUUAAAGUAUAUCAAAUUAGUACCAUAUGGUUUCGCAUUUUCUUACUUUAGUACUUGGCUGUGGUUUAAAGUGUAUCAAGUUAGUACCCUGUGAUUUUAUUUUUGUAUCACGUUAGUAUCCUGUGGUUUUAUUUUUGUAUCAAGUUAGUACCAUUUGAUUUUAUUUUUCUCUUAAUGAAAUAUUAAACUACAGGAUACUAAAGUGAAAAAGUACGAAACCACAGGGUACUAACUUGAUACACUUUAAACACCGGGUACUAACUUGAUACACUUUAAAUCAUAGGGUACUAAAGUAAGAAAGAGUGAAACUAUUAGGAGGUAUUUGAAGUUUUCCCUAAUAUUUAUAAUCAUUUUUAACUUUAUCACCCCCCAACCAAAGUCAACAUUUCCUAUCCCACUGCAACCCUCUUAACUCUGUAUUCACACUUGUCCAAACAAUUCAUCCCCCUUUCCCAC
RNAcentral lists this long non-coding RNA (1147 nucleotides) under Ananas comosus (pineapple). RNAcentral describes it as "long non-coding RNA (ACOM_LNC008580)". The record is from RNAcentral. Lineage: Eukaryota; Viridiplantae; Streptophyta; Magnoliopsida; Poales; Bromeliaceae.